AUACGGAGGAUCCGAGCGUUAUCCGGAUUUAUUGGGUUUAAAGGGUGCGCAGGCGGGAGAUUAAGUCGGCGGGGAAAUUUUGCAGCUCAAAUGUAAAAGUGCCUUCGAAACUGGUUUCCUUGAGUGUAGAUGAAGUAGGCGGAAUUUGUGGUGUAGCGGUGAAAUGCAUAGAUAUCACGAGGAACUCCGAUUGCGCAGGCAGCUUACUAAACUACUACUGACGCUCAGGCACGAAGGCGUGGGGAUCAAACAGGAUUAGAUACCCUGGUAGUCCACGCAGUAAACGAUGAUUACUAGCUGUUUGCGAUACAAUGUAAGCGGCUGAGCGAAAGCGUUAAGUAAUCCACCUGGGGAGUACGUUCGCAAGAAUGAAACUCAAAUGAAUCGGCGGGG
Molecule: ribosomal RNA, 393 nt
Filed under: uncultured bacterium
Lineage: Bacteria
Description: partial 16S ribosomal RNA
Rfam family: Bacterial small subunit ribosomal RNA
Source: RNAcentral